UGGUAACACUUCUGCCUAUGAAAUUAA
RNAcentral lists this non-coding RNA (27 nucleotides) under Rattus norvegicus (Norway rat). Lineage: Eukaryota; Metazoa; Chordata; Mammalia; Rodentia; Muridae. The record is from RNAcentral.